CAGAAUGAUGAAAACCUGGAAUUGAUCCAGAUUGACCCGAAAAGGAUGCUGUAAAUGGCCUUCCAGCUGAGUCUGAAA
RNAcentral lists this small nucleolar RNA (78 nucleotides) under Zea mays. The record is from RNAcentral. Lineage: Eukaryota; Viridiplantae; Streptophyta; Magnoliopsida; Poales; Poaceae.